RNAcentral lists this ribosomal RNA (490 nucleotides) under uncultured bacterium. RNAcentral's name for it is "partial 16S ribosomal RNA". It matches the Rfam family "Bacterial small subunit ribosomal RNA", at positions 28 to 507 of the family's 1533-position model. The record is from RNAcentral.
GUUGAACGCUGGCGGCAGGCCUAACACAUGCAAGUCGAACGGUAACAGGAAGCAGCUUGCUGCUUCGCUGACGAGUGGCGGACGGGUGAGUAAUGUCUGGGAAGCUGCCUGAUGGAGGGGGAUAACUACUGGAAACGGUAGCUAAUACCGCAUAAUGUCGCAAGACCAAAGAGGGGGACCUUCGGGCCUCUUGCCAUCGGAUGUGCCCAGAUGGGAUUAGCUUGUUGGUGGGGUAACGGCUCACCAAUGCGACGAUCCCUAGCUGGUCUGAGAGGAUGACCAGCCACACUGGAACUGAGACACGGUCCAGACUCCUACGGGAGGCAGCAGUGGGGAAUAUUGCACAAUGGGCGCAAGCCUGAUGCAGCCAUGCCGCGUGUAUGAAGAAGGCCUUCGGGUUGUAAAGUACUUUCAGCGGGGAGGAAGGGAGUAAAGUUAAUACCUUUGCUCAUUGACGUUACCCGCAGAAGAAGCACCGGCUAACUCCGUG